This 927-nucleotide ribosomal RNA is filed under the name uncultured Myxococcales bacterium. Its description in RNAcentral is "bacterial SSU rRNA". It matches the Rfam family "Bacterial small subunit ribosomal RNA", at positions 8 to 916 of the family's 1533-position model. The record is from RNAcentral. Lineage: Bacteria; Pseudomonadati; Myxococcota; Myxococcia; Myxococcales.
AGAGUUUGAUCCUGGCUCAGAACGAACGCUGGCGGCGUGCCUAACACAUGCAAGUCGAGCGCGAAAAGGGCAACCUGAGUAGAGCGGCGCACGGGUGCGUAACACGUGGGUAAUCUGCCUUGGAGUCGAGGAUAACUUUCCGAAAGGUUAGCUAAUACUCGGUAAGCUUACGGAGACUUCGGUCUUUGUGAGAAAAGUAGGCCUCUAUUUAUAAGCUUACGCUUCGAGAUGAGCCCGCGGCCCAUCAGCUAGUUGGCGGUGUAACGGACCACCAAGGCAACGACGGGUAGCUGGUCUGAGAGGACGAUCAGCCACACUGGAACUGAGACACGGUCCAGACUCCUACGGGAGGCAGCAGUGGGGAAUUUUCCACAAUGGGCGAAAGCCUGAUGGAGCAACGCCGCGUGUGUGAUGAAGGUUUUCGGAUCGUAAAGCACUUUCGACCGGGGCGAAAAACCUCUGGCUAACAUCCAGGGGCCUGACGGUACCGGGAGAAGAAGCACCGGCUAACUCUGUGCCAGCAGCCGCGGUAAUACAGAGGGUGCAAGCGUUGUUCGGAAUUAUUGGGCGUAAAGCGCGUGUAGGCGGCUUUGCAAGUCAGAUGUGAAAGCCCUCGGCUUAACCGAGGAAGUGCGUCUGAAACUGCAGAGCUUGAGUGUCGGAGAGGAUGGCGGAAUUCCGCAAGUAGAGGUGAAAUUCGUAGAUAUGCGGAGGAACACCGGUGGCGAAGGCGGCCAUCUGGACGACUACUGACGCUGAGACGCGAAAGCGUGGGGAGCAAACAGGAUUAGAUACCCUGGUAGUCCACGCUGUAAACGAUGAGAACUAGGUGUCGUGGGUGUUGACCCCCGCGGUGCCGCAGCUAACGCAUUAAGUUCUCCGCCUGGGAAGUACGGCCGCAAGGCUAAAACUCAAAGGAAUUGACGG